This 253-nucleotide ribosomal RNA is filed under the name uncultured bacterium. Its description in RNAcentral is "partial 16S ribosomal RNA". It matches the Rfam family "Bacterial small subunit ribosomal RNA", at positions 524 to 776 of the family's 1533-position model. The record is from RNAcentral.
UACGAAGGGGGCUAGCGUUGCUCGGAAUCACUGGGCGUAAAGGGCGCGUAGGCGGCUUCGCAAGUGGAAGGUGAAAUCCCUCGGCUUAACCGAGGAACUGCCCUCCAAACUGCGUUGCUUGAGUUCGGGAGAGGUGAGUGGAACUGCGAGUGUAGAGGUGAAAUUCGUAGAUAUUCGCAAGAACACCAGUGGCGAAGGCGGCUCACUGGCCCGAUACUGACGCUGAGGCACGAAAGCGUGGGGAGCAAACAGG